RNAcentral lists this ribosomal RNA (425 nucleotides) under uncultured rumen bacterium. Its description in RNAcentral is "bacterial SSU rRNA". It matches the Rfam family "Bacterial small subunit ribosomal RNA", at positions 354 to 776 of the family's 1533-position model. The record is from RNAcentral.
GUGGGGAAUAUUGGUCAAUGGGCGAGAGCCUGAACCAGCCAAGUAGCGUGCAGGAAGACGGCCCUAUGGGUUGUAAACUGCUUUUAUGCGGGGAUAAAGUGGGCUACGUGUAGUCCUUUGCAGGUACCGCAUGAAUAAGGACCGGCUAAUUCCGUGCCAGCAGCCGCGGUAAUACGGAAGGUCCGGGCGUUAUCCGGAUUUAUUGGGUUUAAAGGGAGCGCAGGCUGAUGAUUAAGCGUGACGUGAAAUGUAGCCGCUCAACGGCUGAACUGCGUCGCGAACUGGUUAUCUUGAGUGAGUUCGAUGUUGGCGGAAUUCGUGGUGUAGCGGUGAAAUGCUUAGAUAUCACGAAGAACUCCGAUUGCGAAGGCAGCCAACAAGGCCUUUACUGACGCUAAAGCUCGAAGGUGCGGGUAUCGAACAGG